This 509-nucleotide ribosomal RNA is filed under the name uncultured bacterium. RNAcentral describes it as "bacterial SSU rRNA". It matches the Rfam family "Bacterial small subunit ribosomal RNA", at positions 501 to 1009 of the family's 1533-position model. The record is from RNAcentral.
CUACGUGCCAGCAGCCGCGGUAAUACGUAGGUCCCGAGCGUUGUCCGGAUUUAUUGGGCGUAAAGCGAGCGCAGGCGGUUAGAUAAGUCUGAAGUUAAAGGCUGUGGCUUAACCAUAGUACGCUUUGGAAACUGUUUAACUUGAGUGCAAGAGGGGAGAGUGGAAUUCCAUGUGUAGCGGUGAAAUGCGUAGAUAUAUGGAGGAACACCGGUGGCGAAAGCGGCUCUCUGGCUUGUAACUGACGCUGAGGCUCGAAAGCGUGGGGAGCAAACAGGAUUAGAUACCCUGGUAGUCCACGCCGUAAACGAUGAGUGCUAGGUGUUAGACCCUUUCCGGGGUUUAGUGCCGUAGCUAACGCAUUAAGCACUCCGCCUGGGGAGUACGACCGCAAGGUUGAAACUCAAAGGAAUUGACGGGGGCCCGCACAAGCGGUGGAGUAUGUGGUUUAAUUCGACGCAACGCGAAGAACCUUACCAGGUCUUGACAUUGAUGGACAGAACUAGAGAUAG